Molecule: transfer RNA, 71 nt
Organism: Desulfococcus multivorans DSM 2059
Lineage: Bacteria; Pseudomonadati; Thermodesulfobacteriota; Desulfobacteria; Desulfobacterales; Desulfococcaceae
Rfam family: tRNA
About the family: Transfer RNA (tRNA) molecules are approximately 80 nucleotides in length. Their secondary structure includes four short double-helical elements and three loops (D, anti-codon, and T loops).
Source: Rfam
UGAGGGAUCGUCUAGUGGCAGGACGACGGGUUCUGGCCCCGUUAACCUAGGUUCGAAUCCUAGUCCCUCAG